This 378-nucleotide ribosomal RNA is filed under the name Triticum aestivum (bread wheat). Its description in RNAcentral is "partial small subunit ribosomal RNA". Lineage: Eukaryota; Viridiplantae; Streptophyta; Magnoliopsida; Poales; Poaceae. The record is from RNAcentral.
AUGCACAAGCCGGCUUGCCUGGGAGACGUCCAGAAGUUCAUCGGCUGCCUGGUGUCCCUCAGCCGGUUCGUCAACCGGCUGGGGGAGAGGGCCCUGCCCCUGUACCAGCUGAUAAAGAAGACAACCGAGUUCGAAUGGAUGCCGCAGGCGGACGUGGCCUUCCGCGACCUCAAGCGCAUGCUCUCCACCGCACCCAUCUUGGCCGCGCCAGCUGAGAAGGAACCCAUGCUAAUGUACAUCGCCGCCACCACUCGCGUGGUCAGUGUGGUGUUGGUGGUGGAGCGCCUUGAGGAGGGCAAGGUGCAGCCGAUCCAGCGGCAUGUGUACUAUCUGAGCGAGGUGCUCUCCAUCUCCAAGCAGAACUACCCCCACUACUAG